RNAcentral lists this ribosomal RNA (488 nucleotides) under uncultured bacterium. RNAcentral's name for it is "bacterial SSU rRNA". It matches the Rfam family "Bacterial small subunit ribosomal RNA", at positions 28 to 514 of the family's 1533-position model. The record is from RNAcentral.
GAUGAACGCUAGCGGCAGGCCUAAUACAUGCAAGUCGAACGAGAUUGUUGUAGCAAUAUGACAUGAAAGUGGCGCACGGGUGCGUAACACGUAUGCAAUCUACCUCUAAUAGGGGAAUAGCUUCGAGAAAUCGGAAUUAAUACCCCAUAACAUAAUUAAGUGGCAUCAUUUGAUUAUCAAACCUCCGGGGAUUAGAGAUGAGCAUGCGCAACAUUAGCUAGUUGGUAAGGUAAUGGCUUACCAAGGCUACGAUGUUUAGGGGUCUGAGAGGAUGAUCCCCCACACUGGUACUGAGACACGGACCAGACUCCUACGGGAGGCAGCAGUAGGGAAUAUUGGUCAAUGGAGGAAACUCUGAACCAGCCAUGCCGCGUGCAGGAUGACGGCCCUCUGGGUUGUAAACUGCUUUUAUACGGGAAGAAAAAAUACUACGUGUAGUAUAUUGACGGUACCGUAAGAAUAAGGAUCGGCUAACUCCGUGCCAGCAG